UGUGUGUGUGUCUAAUCAUGUAAAUUCUUCCUCUGAAGAAGGGGAUGACUUCUAACAAAGGUGCAAAGCUCCAUCUUUGAAAUGUUGAUAACGAAAACAAUGUCACAUUUUAAACCUGAGAAUAGUCUUGCAUAAUAUGUAUGUAUGUAUGUAUGUAUGUAUGUAUGU
This is a long non-coding RNA of Octopus sinensis (East Asian common octopus), 168 nucleotides long. RefSeq lists it as uncharacterized. The record is from RefSeq and is a predicted model, not a curated record. The transcript is spliced from 3 exons. NCBI's taxonomy places the organism in Eukaryota, Metazoa, Mollusca, Cephalopoda, Octopoda, Octopodidae.